This is a non-coding RNA of Arachis ipaensis, 173 nucleotides long. NCBI's taxonomy places the organism in Eukaryota, Viridiplantae, Streptophyta, Magnoliopsida, Fabales, Fabaceae. The record is from RefSeq and is a predicted model, not a curated record.
AUAGCAACAACAAAGGGGCAUUAGGGCAAUGUUGCAAGUGUCAUGUGUUCUUAUAAUCAAGUUAAUGGCAAGCCAACUUGUGCAGACCCUGACCUUCUUAAAGGGGUUAUUCGUGACAAGUGGAAAUUAAAUGGAUAUAUAGUUUCUGAUUGUGACUCAGUAGAUGUGUUUUU